Molecule: ribosomal RNA, 253 nt
Filed under: uncultured bacterium
Lineage: Bacteria
Description: partial 16S ribosomal RNA
Rfam family: Bacterial small subunit ribosomal RNA
Source: RNAcentral
UACAGAGGGGGCAAGCGUUGUUCGGAAUUACUGGGCGUAAAGCGUGCGCAGGCGGUUUUGUAAGACCGAUGUGAAAUCCCCGGGCUUAACCUGGGAACUGCAUUGGUGACUGCAAGGCUUGAGUGUGUCAGAGGGAGGUGGAAUUCCGCGUGUAGCAGUGAAAUGCGUAGAUAUGCGGAGGAACACCGAUGGCGAAGGCAGCCUCCUGGGAUAACACUGACGCUCAUGCACGAAAGCGUGGGGAGCAAACAGG